UUUAUACUCCCUUGGUCCCAAAAUUCUUGUCUUAGCUUUGUCUAGAAAUGAAUGUAUCUACAUAUUAAAUUUGACUAGAUACAUUCAUAUCUAAACAAAUAUAAGACAAUAAUUUUGAAACGGAGGGAGUAUUUA
Non-coding RNA from Hordeum vulgare subsp. vulgare (domesticated barley), 135 nucleotides. Lineage: Eukaryota; Viridiplantae; Streptophyta; Magnoliopsida; Poales; Poaceae. The record is from Rfam.